RNAcentral lists this ribosomal RNA (497 nucleotides) under uncultured bacterium. Its description in RNAcentral is "partial 16S ribosomal RNA". It matches the Rfam family "Bacterial small subunit ribosomal RNA", at positions 28 to 507 of the family's 1533-position model. The record is from RNAcentral.
GAUGAACGCUGGCGGCGUGCCUAAUACAUGCAAGUCGAGCGAACAGACGAGGAGCUUGCUCCUCUGACGUUAGCGGCGGACGGGUGAGUAACACGUGGAUAACCUACCUAUAAGACUGGGAUAACUUCGGGAAACCGGAGCUAAUACCGGAUAAUAUAUUGAACCGCAUGGUUCAAUAGUGAAAGACGGUUUUGCUGUCACUUAUAGAUGUAUCCGGGCCGGAUUAGCUAGUUGGUAAGGUAACGGCUUACCAAGGCGACGAUGCGUAGCCGACCUGAGAGGGUGAUCGGCCACACUGGAACUGAGACACGGUCCAGACUCCUACGGGAGGCAGCAGUAGGGAAUCUUCCGCAAUGGGCGAAAGCCUGACGGAGCAACGCCGCGUGAGUGAUGAAGGUCUUCGGAUCGUAAAACUCUGUUAUUAGGGAAGAACAAAUGUGUAAGUAACUAUGCACGUCUUGACGGUACCUAAUCAGAAAGCCACGGCUAACUACGUG